AGGACGAACGCUGGCGGCGUGCUUAACACAUGCAAGUCGAACGAGGUCCAUCCGGUAGCAAUACCGGAGAAGACCUAGUGGCGAACGGGUGAGUAACACGUGAGCAACCUGCCCCGAAGACCGGGAUAACAGCGGGAAACCGCUGCUAAUACCGGAUGCCCCCACCGGGUCGCAUGACCUGGUGAGGAAAUGGAUUCCGCUUCGGGAGGGGCUCGCGGCCUAUCAGCUUGUUGGUGGGGUAACGGCCUACCAAGGCGACGACGGGUAGCUGGUCUGAGAGGACGAUCAGCCACACUGGGACUGAGACACGGCCCAGACUCCUACGGGAGGCAGCAGUGGGGAAUAUUGCGCAAUGGGCGAAAGCCUGACGCAGCAACGCCGCGUGAGGGAUGAAGGCCUUCGGGUUGUAAACCUCUUUCGAGCAGGGACGAUAAUGACGGUACCUGCAGAAGAAGCUCCGGCCAACUACGUGCCAGCAGCCGC
Molecule: ribosomal RNA, 483 nt
Filed under: uncultured bacterium
Lineage: Bacteria
Description: SSU rRNA
Rfam family: Bacterial small subunit ribosomal RNA
Source: RNAcentral